AUUGAACGCUGGCGGCAGGCCUAACACAUGCAAGUCGAACGAGUGGCGGACGGGUGAGUAAUGUCUGGGAAACUGCCAGAUGGAGGGGGAUAACUACUGGAAAAGGUAGCUAAUACCGCAUACCAUCGGAUGUGCCCAGAUGGGAUUGGCUAGUAGGUGGGGUAAAGGCUCACCUAGGCGACGAUCCCUAGCUGGUCUCAGAGGAUGACCAGCUACACUGGAACUGGGAGACGGUCCAGACUCCUACGUGAGGCAGCAGUGGGUAAUAGUGCACAAUGGGCGCAAGCAUGAUGCAGCCAUGCCGAGUGUAUGAAGAAGGCCUUCGGGUUGUAAAGUACUUUCAGCGAGGAGGCGUUACUCGCAGAAGAAGCACCGGCUAACUCCGUGCCAGCAGCCGCGGUAAUUC
This 406-nucleotide ribosomal RNA is filed under the name uncultured bacterium. Its description in RNAcentral is "partial 16S ribosomal RNA". It matches the Rfam family "Bacterial small subunit ribosomal RNA", at positions 30 to 526 of the family's 1533-position model. The record is from RNAcentral.